UACGUAGGGGGCUAGCGUUGUCCGGAAUCAUUGGGCGUAAAGCGCGCGUAGGCGGCCCGGUAAGUCCGCUCUGAAAGUCCAGGGCUCAACCCUGGAAUGCCGGUGGAUACUGUCGGGCUUGAGUACGGAAGAGGCGAGUGGAAUUCCUGGUGUAGCGGUGAAAUGCGCAGGAUAUCAGGAAGAACACCGGUGGCGAAAGGCGGCAUCCUGGACCAUGACUGACGCUGAGGAGCG
This 234-nucleotide ribosomal RNA is filed under the name uncultured bacterium. RNAcentral's name for it is "partial 16S ribosomal RNA". It matches the Rfam family "Bacterial small subunit ribosomal RNA", at positions 524 to 755 of the family's 1533-position model. The record is from RNAcentral.